UAAAAUUCUCAGUCAAGUCCCUCACAGCAUGCGUAUUUUACACAUACGCACCUCCAUGUCCGAUCUCACGCAAUUCGGCACAUAAAAUAUAGGGUCUCUUCGCGAUUUAUCCGUUUUGCCACUUUGACCCCACAGCGAAAAUCUCGUAAUUCCCGGAGAUCCGUCCGUCGGAUUUUCGAUCCGACAGCACCAUUGCGUUCAACACGUUGGGGGCAUCAAAACUACAAUGAUGAUUCGUCCGAUUUGGUCACGGAUUCGCGACGGAACCCAUCCGCUCUCUAAUUAAUCCGUAUAUCGCACAUAUACCAAAACAUAAACCCUAAAAUCUUUAAUUCAAAUUCAAAUUUGAAUUCUCUACCACCAGUAGGUACCAAAAACAACUCUCACCUAUCUCCAGAUCACUUGUACAAAGCACGAGGAGUUUUAAAAUGCAUGAAUAGCAAAGAGCGGAAACCCUCUUUUUAUUAAAACUCCUUUUACUCGAAAACCGUGCGUCAGAUCCAAAAUCCGUCAGUGCCAUUGGUUCCAGAAUAGCUGAACCGUUCGAAACG
This 551-nucleotide long non-coding RNA is filed under the name Ananas comosus (pineapple). Its description in RNAcentral is "long non-coding RNA (ACOM_LNC027989)". Lineage: Eukaryota; Viridiplantae; Streptophyta; Magnoliopsida; Poales; Bromeliaceae. The record is from RNAcentral.